UGGGGAAUAUUGGACAAUGGGCGCAAGCCUGAUCCAGCCAUGCCGCGUGAGUGAUGAAGGCCCUAGGGUUGUAAAGCUCUUUCACCGGUGAAGAUAAUGACGGUAACCGGAGAAGAAGCCCCGGCUAACUUCGUGCCAGCAGCCGCGGUAAUACGAAGGGGGCUAGCGUUGUUCGGAUUUACUGGGCGUAAAGCGCACGUAGGCGGACUAUUAAGUCAGGGGUGAAAUCCCGGGGCUCAACCCCGGAACUGCCUUUGAUACUGGUAGUCUUGAGUUCGAGAGAGGUGAGUGGAAUUCCGAGUAUAGAGGUGAAAUUCGUAGAUAUUCUGAGGAACACCAGUGGCGAAGGCGGCUCACUGGCUCGAUACUGACGCUGAGGUGCGAAAGCGUGGGGAGCAAACAGG
RNAcentral lists this ribosomal RNA (404 nucleotides) under Actinomycetes bacterium. RNAcentral describes it as "Actinobacteria bacterium partial 16S ribosomal RNA". It matches the Rfam family "Bacterial small subunit ribosomal RNA", at positions 355 to 776 of the family's 1533-position model. The record is from RNAcentral. Lineage: Bacteria; Bacillati; Actinomycetota; Actinomycetes.